Magnolia sinica is the source of this 4062-nucleotide long non-coding RNA. RefSeq lists it as uncharacterized. The record is from RefSeq and is a predicted model, not a curated record. NCBI's taxonomy places the organism in Eukaryota, Viridiplantae, Streptophyta, Magnoliopsida, Magnoliales, Magnoliaceae. The transcript has 2 exons.
UUAAUUUUGUUGUUAUCAAGUUAAAACUGAUAUGUCUUUGGUGACUAUGGGGGUGGUGAAUCUUGGUGUCGUGUAGUUGCUGAUUAUGAUCAAAUGAGAUGUGUUUUAUGGGUAACAUUAAUAUGUUCUAAUCUUGUUUCGAUGUGUUUUGGAUGAGACCUACUAUUUGAAACUGAAUUGUUAAGAAACUAUGCAACAUAUAAGAUUUGUAAAUUCAGUAGAUAGUUUGAAGAAUGGUAUAUAUCGAAGGAUAUUUACUGUUACAAGAAAGAUAUAAAAUUGGCAUUUGAUAUUGUGUGGUAGAUGCUGACAUCAGUUUCAUUCGGUCUAUUAUACAAGAAAUAAUCUUAACAUGGAGGGACAAGGAUGGACAAAAGAGGAAAUGUCUACUUUUACAGCUACAGUUGCUGCAGCAACAACAACUAUUACAGUGGGAGAAUACUGCUGAAAUUAUUUAUUUAGGACACCCUCACGAUUUGGAGAUUGGAGACUAUGAAAGAAGCAGGAUCAUAAAUGGGAUAAUUAGAGUGGGUGACCAAGAAUGUGUUGCACAACUCUGAAUGAACAAGGCCACAUUCUUCAACCUAUGAUCCUUUCUCAAGGAUAGGAAUCUCCUUCCUGAAGGGAAACAUGUUUGUAUGGAAGAACAACUUGUCACGUUCCUUCAUACAGUAGGGCAUAAUGUGAGGAACCGUGUCAUUGGUAAUCAGUUUAUAAGGUUUGGAGAAAUUGUAAGUUGAUAUUUUAGUAAAGCUCUAGAUGCCGUUGUCGGACUAUAUCCAGGGUUUAUAAAACUCCCAAGUGCAGAUACACCUAUAGAGAUUUUAGCUAAUCCCAAUCGGAGCACAUAUUUUCAGGUAUGCUCAACUGUAAUGACAUCAUGCAAAAACUUGUGAUGUGCAACCUUCUUUUAUCUAUUUCUUUACUGAUAAUGUGUGUUGAAAUUGGGACUAUAUUGGUGCAAUUGAUGACACCCAUGUACCUGCCUAUGUGCCUGCAUUAAAAAGUGCAACCUACUAUAAUAGGAAAGGAAUCCUCUCUCAGAACGUAAUGGCCGCAUGUACAUUUGAUAUGAAGUUCGUAUAUGUGGAUGGGAAUGAUCUGCCUCCGACGCACGUGUCUUACAAAGUACAUUGACACAUUCCACUGAUCGUUUUACUAUCCCUCAGGGUACUUCGAAUGCAAAUAUAUGAUGGAACAUAUUCAUAGGAUUAUUUAUAAUUUUAUUUAUAAUGAUAUUUACUCAUAAUUAACUGUAGGUAAAUACUACGUAGUUGAUGCUGGUUACCCUCAUUCACCUGGAUUUAUGGCUCCUUAUUGCGGUGUAUGGUACCACCUCAAUGAAUAUUGCACAGGCCGCAAUCCUUCAAACAAGAAAGAACUUUUUAACUACUGACAUGCUCAAUUAUGAAAUGUUAUUGAGUGGAUAUUUGGAGUACUCAAAGCUCAGUUUCUAAUCCUCAAAUCAGCUCCACCAUUCAACCUUAAUGCACAACUGAAGAUAGUGAUCGCAUGUUGUGUAUUACACAACUUUAUCCAUUUAUUUGGAGGAGAUAGUUUAAUCAAAGAUGAGGUCGCCUCAAUGGAUUCAACAGAGUGUGUAGAUCUGUCACCAUGUGAGGGUAAUGUCACGCAAGGUGAAAAGGAUGAAUGGGCGAUGUUUAGAGAUAAUAUUACUUAGAGGAUGUGGAAUGAAUAUCUUCUUGUGAGUCAUAUCGUAUGAUAAUCGCAUGCUAAAUUGUCAUUUUGUACUCGAUAAUAGAUAUGUAAUUGUAAUCUCAAAUACCUACAAGCUUGUGUCUAGAUUGACAUCCUUUUGGAUGUAUGAAAAUAUGAUUAUUCGCUCUUUUAACUUUUUAUCAUGUCUGAAAUGUGUGUAUUUAGUGAAAAAUUUUCCUUUCUUAUAUGAUUUAUAUGAUGUAUGUAAUGCUUAUUAAAUAUGCUCAUAUCACUAUUUGUAGAUAAUUGAAGUUAGUGGCGAGGAAAUGUCUCCAAAGAAACCAAACAACCAAUCCACACCGACUAAAGAAACUGGUCAAGAACGGUGUGUUACACCACGAAGGAUGCCAAGGAAAUACAAAUUAAAAUCGCCUGAUGGAAAUGUAUUGUCAAUUAGUGCAAUGUUGUGGACAGAUGAAAUGGAUGACUGCCUUAUCGAUACGCUGAUGGAUGUUGUUGCAAAUGGCAGUAACGUACCAAUGGUUUUAGAAGGAAACCUACAAAACAGUCGUGGAGACUGUGAGGAGUGCAAUAGGAAUAACAGUUCAAGAGAAACAUGUUGGGAAUCACCUAUGCACAUUGAAGAGGUUGUAUUUCGAGGUUUGGGACACUCUGAAAUGCUAGUGGCUUUGGUUGGGACGAUGACUUGAAGAUAGGGACCUCUCUUGAUGAUGUUUGGGAGGAUUACAUACGGUCACAUCCUUACGCACAACAUGUUUGGGGGGAAACGGUGCGAAGGUGCGAUGACCUAACAUACGUAUUCGGUAAUGACCAAGCAACCGGAUUGUGUGUUUCCACAAGAAACAUGCAUGAUACUAAGCCAUCGAGAAGGCCCACGGAUACUGAUAUUUCACCGACAUGGUCUGUCGAUCUGAAUGACGAUACUCUCGUGUUAUCGAGUGACGAUGUAGGGGACAAUGUGCCUAACAUCUAGUGGUUGUAUCGAAGUCACGAUGGUUCCCAUAUUGCAAAUCGAAGUUCGAUUGUGAAUGGGAACACCUCGGCUGACACGGAAAGCACAAACAAUUCAAGGAAGAGAGUUAAGAUGGAACGCCCUUGUUAUGUCAUAGCUAAAGGAAUGAGUGACGUUGCUGAAGCUAUCAAAUCACUGGAUAUUACCAUACACCAAGGGAAGGAUAUGUUACAUAUGUCACAGGUUGUACUUGCUCUGGAGUAGAUUGAGGGCCUUACAGGUCACGAGAUCUUAUGUGCAACAAGGAUACUAUCGAAAGAUAAACAACAAUCUACUUCAUUCCUUUCUCUCCCUGAGAAUAGAAGGUUGGAUUUCAUGUUAAUGAUGCUUGCUCCAGAUCAGUCAUCUGACUGAGCAUAGUCCCCUCCACCUGACCGUAUGGGUUUCUGUUUUAUUUGGUUGGUUUGCUAAGUGAUUUUUUGGACAUACAAUUUUUUGGACAUAUGUGCUAGUUGUGUUGACUAGCUGGAUGAAUAUGGGUUAUUUUGAAUAAUCUUAUUUAUUUAUUUUUUGAAUUUUGAUGUGUAUUGAAUGAUCUAUCCAUUGAUGCUUGUUAACCUGUAUUAUCUGUUUAUAAGGUCUGGUAAAUUUGUUAUGAUUAUGUCUACGCUGCUCAUGUUACUGCACUAUGUAAAGGAUAACAAUUCAGAUUUAACAGAUUCAGUCUCCUCUUUAGGUAUCCUCUAAUAAUGAUUAUAUCUUCAUUUAUCAUUGGCAGUUAUAUAUAAAUAGUAGUCUUUAUCUCAUUAUGUUCCACUAUAAAUGCAAAUGGUUUGACGAUGUUCAGUUUCAUUUGUAAUAUGCAAAUGGGUAAAAAAAUGUACAUUGUAUUCAAUGGCUGCCAACCCGGCAUCUAUUAUACAUGGGAGGAGUGCCGUCAACAAGUUGAUGGAUAUUCUUUAGCCUGCUUCCAUGGCUAUAAAUUGGCAACGGAAGCAUAUACUCAAUGGACUGCUUUCUGCGAGGUUUCCUCGCAUCAGAAUGCAGCAUUGGGUGACUUGGAUGCUGAUUAUGACACCAUGGGAUCGACGCAUGAACGUGGUUGCAUCGCCAGUUAUAGCAACCACCCUACAGGGAGAUCGAGAUCACCAUUAAAUUAUUGUCAUUAUAGUGAUGGCAACAGCACAUAGGGAGAUAAGGUUGAUGAAACACCGCAUUCAUUUGAGGCGCUGAUAAAGAUUGCAUUUGGUUGCUUGGUUUUAAUCCUCGCCAUUCAUCUCAUCUCGUGUCGUUGAAGAUCAAGCUUACCGGAUACAGUGGCCAAAUUAGUAACUGGUUUUACUUUCUAUUUUUUGGGAUGUUUUUGGAUAUAUUUUGGACUAUGAUGGACUGUGAAAUUUUAUUCGCUAUAUAUGUUUUGGCCAUGACUA